GAACCCUCCGUCAUUUGCCCGUUGCAGAAAGUUGGAGGCUUGCAACCAUGGAAGCUGCCAAAGAAGAUGACCCUGUUUUUCUCGACCGUGCUUCUCGAGGAACAAGAGGCAGAAGAAUGUAAAGCUGGGAUUUGUAUUUGAUGCAUCACAAGUAUUUGACCAAGUUGCUUGAUGAGGAGAUUGAAGAGGAUGAAGUUUUCUGGAAUCAGGAUGCUCUUAAGGACUAAGGAGGAAGAAAACGAUGAAAAUUAUGAAGAAGAAGCAGAGGUUGCCGAUGUUUUUGACAGUGACUUUGAUUCUCGGAUGAACCUGAAGCAGAUGAAGAAGUAGAAAACAAGCCAGAUGUUAGGGAGCGGGCAAAGAAGAAACUAACAUUUCCUGGAAAGGUGUGGGCAAAGAAGAAAAAGAAAAAAAAAGGUCCUCUCAAAACUAGGAAAGGUUCCCCAGCA
Molecule: long non-coding RNA, 449 nt
Organism: Diospyros lotus (date-plum)
Lineage: Eukaryota; Viridiplantae; Streptophyta; Magnoliopsida; Ericales; Ebenaceae
Exons: 6
Source: RefSeq, a predicted model, not a curated record